Molecule: ribosomal RNA, 744 nt
Filed under: uncultured bacterium
Lineage: Bacteria
Description: bacterial SSU rRNA
Rfam family: Bacterial small subunit ribosomal RNA
Source: RNAcentral
CUAACAUGCAGGUCGAACGGGGUCCAACCUUCGGGUGAAGACCUAGUGGCGAACGGGCNCANUUNACACGUGAGAAACCUGCCUUGAAGUCUGGGAUAAGCCAGGGAAACUUGGUCUAAUACCGGAUGCCUUCACAACUUCUUUUGUAGAUGUGAAGAAAGUUUUUCGCUUCAAGAGGGUCUCGCGUCCUAUCAGCUUGUUGGUGGGGUAACGGCCUACCAAGGCUUCGACGGGUAGCUGGUCUGAGAGGAUGGUCAGCCACACUGGGACUGAGACACGGCCCAGACUCCUACGGGAGGCAGCAGUUAGGAAUCUUGCGCAAUGGACGAAAGUCUGACGCAGCAACGCCGCGUGAGGGAUGACGGCUUUCGGGUUGUAAACCUCUUUCAGCAGGAACGAAAAUGACGGUACCUGCAGAAGAAGCACCGGCCAACUACGUGCCAGCAGCCGCGGUAAUACGUAGGGUGCAAGCGUUGUCCGGAUUUAUUGGGCGUAAAGAGCUCGUAGGCGGUUUAGAAAGUCAGGUGUAAAAACUCUGGGCUCAACCCAGAGACGCCACUUGAUACUUCUAUGACUUGAGUUCGGUAGGGGUGAGUGGAAUUCCUGGUGUAGCGGUGAAAUGCGCAGAUAUCAGGAGGGAACACCGAUGGCGAAANGCAGCUCACUGGGGCCGAUACUGACGCUGANGAGCNAAAAGCGUUGGGGAGCGAAACAGGAUUUAGAUACCCCUGGUAGUCCCACGCC